This 445-nucleotide ribosomal RNA is filed under the name uncultured bacterium. RNAcentral describes it as "bacterial SSU rRNA". It matches the Rfam family "Bacterial small subunit ribosomal RNA", at positions 355 to 796 of the family's 1533-position model. The record is from RNAcentral.
UGAGGAAUUUUGGACAAUGGGGGCAACCCUGAUCCAGCGACGCCGCGUGGAGGACGAAGGUCUUCGGAUUGUAAACUCCUUUUAUCCAUGAAUAAAAAAUCCACAGAAAUAUAGAGAUUGAAUGUAAUGGAUGAAUAAGCCACGGCUAACUUCGUGCCAGCAGCCGCGGUAAUACGAAGGUGGCAAGCGUUACUCGGAAUUACUAGGCGUAAAGGGCAGGUAGGUGGUUCGGUAAGUCUGUUGUGAAAUCUCCCGGCUUAACUGGGAGAGGUCAACAGAAACUGCCGGGCUGGAGUAUAGGAGAGGGUACUGGAAUUCCCGGUGUAGCGGUGAAAUGCGCAGAGAUCGGGAGGAACACCAAUGGCGAAAGCAGGUACCUGGACUAUUACUGACACUCAACUGCGAAAGCUAGGGGAGCAAACAGGAUUAGAUACCCCCGUAGUCC